RNAcentral lists this long non-coding RNA (812 nucleotides) under Zonotrichia albicollis (white-throated sparrow). RNAcentral's name for it is "lncRNA (ENSZALG00000008843.1)". Lineage: Eukaryota; Metazoa; Chordata; Aves; Passeriformes; Passerellidae. The record is from RNAcentral.
GUAAAUUUAAAGAAAAUAUGAAGACUGAGAUUUUGCCGUAUAAUAGCAGCUGCUAAAUAUUUUAUAUUCUGGUUUUUUGUUUUUUUUUUUCUUUCUUUUUUUUAAUUCUGCUAAGUAUAGGUAAGAUACUUCAGUGAUUUCCCUUCCCUUCAGCAUUUCUUUCCAAUUAACCCCAGAAUCCUUUUUCUCCAGACAUUUUCCUUAAAAGUUUCCGUGUAAAACCAAGCGAGCUGAAGGACAAACUCUUCAUCAUCCACGAGGAGAGUGGGGGGCUCACAGAUGAGCAGAUUACAGCACUGAGAAGAUACUUGCCCACACCCAAAGAUGCAGAGAGGUACCUGUCCUUCAAGGGGCCGUGCUCAGAGCUGCACGUGGUUGACCAGUUCAUGUUGGAGAUGUGUAAAAUCCCCCAGCUGGGCCAGAGGCUGGAUCUGCUGCUCAGCGUCCGUGAGCUGCCCGAGAGCAUCAGAGACCUGGAGCCUCUGAUCACCCAGAACAUCCAAGCCAGCAAGCAGCUGCAGUCCAGCCCCAAGUUUGUGGCUGUCCUGGAGUACAUUUUAGCCAUGGGGAACCACCUGAAUGAAAAAGCUGGGAAGGAGGUGGCCAGAGGGUUCCGACUGUCCUCUCUGGCCAAGCUCUCCCUGCUGAGGGGCAGGGACAGGACCUUCACCCUCCUGCACGCCCUGGCGGAGCAGAUCCUCUCGCAGCAGCCCGAGCUGGCCACCUUCCCCCAGGAGCUGACCCAGUUUGAGGCUGUUCCUGAUGGUGAGAGGAGGGCAGGGGGGAAAAUAAUCAAAAAAUAAAAAAUGAAG